GAUCCUGGCUCAGGAUGAACGCUAGCUACAGGCUUAACACAUGCAAGUCGAGGGGAAACGACAUCGAAAGCUUGCUUUUGAUGGGCGUCGACCGGCGCACGGGCGAGUAACGCGUAUGCAACCUGCCCGAUACCGGGGUAUAGCCCAUGGAAACGUGGAUUAACACCCCAUAGUACUUUUAUCCUGCAUGGGAUGUGAGUUAAAUGUUCAAGGUAUCGGAUGGGCAUGCGUCCUAUUAGUUAG
RNAcentral lists this ribosomal RNA (243 nucleotides) under uncultured bacterium. Its description in RNAcentral is "partial 16S ribosomal RNA". It matches the Rfam family "Bacterial small subunit ribosomal RNA", at positions 15 to 248 of the family's 1533-position model. The record is from RNAcentral.